RNAcentral lists this ribosomal RNA (253 nucleotides) under uncultured bacterium. RNAcentral describes it as "partial 16S ribosomal RNA". It matches the Rfam family "Bacterial small subunit ribosomal RNA", at positions 524 to 776 of the family's 1533-position model. The record is from RNAcentral.
GACGUAGGGUGCAAGCGUUGUCCGGAUUUAUUGGGCGUAAAGAGCUCGUAGGCGGCUUGUUGCGUCGACUGUGAAAACCCGCGGCUUAACCGCGGGCUUGCAGUUGAUACGGGCAGGCUAGAGUUCGGUAGGGGAGACUGGAAUUCCUGGUGUAGCGGUGAAAUGCGCAGAUAUCAGGAGGGACACCGGUGGCGAAGGCGGGUCUCUGGGCCGAUACUGACGCUGAGACGCGAAAGCGUGGGGAGCAAACAGG